Molecule: non-coding RNA, 93 nt
Organism: Mycena leptocephala
Lineage: Eukaryota; Fungi; Basidiomycota; Agaricomycetes; Agaricales; Mycenaceae
Source: the annotation of a GenBank genome assembly
GUCUCCGUAGAUCAGCGGUAGAUCGCCUCGAAUGCAUACUGUAUGUGUCACUGUCUGGAAGAGGUAGCGUGGGUUCGAAUCCCACCAGAGGCA